AACGAACGCUGGCGGCAUGCCUAACACAUGCAAGUCGAACGAGACCUUCGGGUCUAGUGGCGCACGGGUGCGUAACGCGUGGGAAUCUGCCCUUGGGUUCGGAAUAACUUCGGGAAACUGAAGCUAAUACCGGAUGAUGACGUAAGUCCAAAGAUUUAUCGCCCAAGGAUGAGCCCGCGUAGGAUUAGCUAGUUGGUGAGGUAAAGGCUCACCAAGGCGACGAUCCUUAGCUGGUCUGAGAGGAUGAUCAGCCACACUGGGACUGAGACACGGCCCAGACUCCUACGGGAGGCAGCAGUGGGGAAUAUUGGACAAUGGGCGAAAGCCUGAUCCAGCAAUGCCGCGUGAGUGAUGAAGGCCUUAGGGUUGUAAAGCUCUUUUACCCGGGAUGAUAAUGACAGUACCGGGAGAAUAAGCUCCGGCUAACUCCGUGCCAGCAGCCGCGGUAAUGUGACUACU
This 459-nucleotide ribosomal RNA is filed under the name uncultured bacterium. RNAcentral's name for it is "bacterial SSU rRNA". It matches the Rfam family "Bacterial small subunit ribosomal RNA", at positions 29 to 533 of the family's 1533-position model. The record is from RNAcentral.